This is a long non-coding RNA of Mastomys coucha (southern multimammate mouse), 1060 nucleotides long. RefSeq lists it as uncharacterized. The record is from RefSeq and is a predicted model, not a curated record. The transcript is spliced from 3 exons. Lineage: Eukaryota; Metazoa; Chordata; Mammalia; Rodentia; Muridae.
UUCUUUACAGAACUUUAUCGUGUACAUUGCAGUUAGCAUCCAUAAGCUUGGCAUGGUAGUAGCAUAAACCUGCACUCGCAGCAUGUAAAGGUAAAAUGAAGACUGAAUUUGAGGCCACAUAGUGAGUCUCACCGCUUAGACACUACAGUUAAAACCCUAGGGACUUCAAGUUGGAUGGGUGUCAAGGACUGAAGACACAGUCGGCUAAAACAGCAGCAGGUACCUGAGCGGCUCCUGUGAUCAUGUUUGGAAUGAAGUCCUUAUGGCCCGGAGCAUCCAUUAAGAACUUGGUGCAAGCCUGAGUCAGAUCCAAUUUAACUCAAAGUCAACACGGCGGGAUAUGCUGAGGGAGGACAACUCCCAGCAAGACCAACGCAGGAGCCUCCCCAUCCACCAAGACCAACGCAGGAUCCUCCCCAUCCACCACUGCUUGUGUGGUGGCACUGUUCCAUCUUUGCUUUGGGAUAAAUAUUCUCUUAACCUUCUCACAGAGUACAGCAUUGGCAAACAAAAGGACUUUUUAAAGUUUUCUCUGAUGCAUUUUAUAUGUUUUACAUAUUCAACAUACAUUGCACACUUAUUUUAAAGGACUAUCAUUUCAAACUGAAAAUUUUGAAAUAUAGCGACUACCUUUCCCUUUCUUCUCCAGUUUCAUCCAAGACCCAUGCAUAUGCAAAUGAAGCCUUGCCAGCCUUUUUAGAUUCUUGCUCAUACUUAUGCAUAGUUCUUUUGUUUACAUUACCCAGAAGAUAAAGCAUAUGGCCCAUCAGAGUACUUUUCCCAGCAUCAACAUGACCUAAGGAAAAUUGAUUCAGGGUUAAUAACUAGGUACAUUUCAGAUGUUCACAUUGAGGCAUUGCAACACUAAUUCAAUGGCGUGCAUCAGUAUUUAGUAUUUAGUGUAACAAAUACUAAUUUUUAUCAAGGUAAAAACACCUAAAUGGGGGAGGGGUGAGGACUGCACACAUUGUUUUAGAGAGAGCAAAUUUUCCCAUUUUUUGGGGGAGAUGCAUCCCAUUUUCAAAAUGUUCACCAAAUAAAACUGCCACAAGCUAAGUCU